UUGCUUUGGCAGCAGGUAUACUAAAAUUGGACCGAUACAGAAAAGAUUAACAUGGCCCCUGCACAUUCAUGACACGCAAAUUCAUGAGGCGUUCCAUAUUUUU
Small nuclear RNA from Dipodomys ordii (Ord's kangaroo rat), 103 nucleotides. The record is from Ensembl. Lineage: Eukaryota; Metazoa; Chordata; Mammalia; Rodentia; Heteromyidae.